GGAGAGGUGCCGGAGCGGUUGAUCGGGACAGUCUCGAAAACUGUUGUGGGCGAAAGUCCACCGUGGGUUCGAAUCCCACCCUCUCCG
RNAcentral lists this transfer RNA (87 nucleotides) under Planctomycetes bacterium RBG_16_59_8. RNAcentral's name for it is "tRNA-Ser". It matches the Rfam family "tRNA". From Rfam's summary of the family: Transfer RNA (tRNA) molecules are approximately 80 nucleotides in length. The record is from RNAcentral. Lineage: Bacteria; Pseudomonadati; Planctomycetota.